AUUGAACGCUGGCGGCAUGCUUUACACAUGCAAGUCGAACGGUAACAGGCCGCAAGGUGCUGACGAGUGGCGAACGGGGGAGUAAUGCAUCGGAACGUGCCCAGUCGUGGGGGAUAACUACUCGAAAGAGGAGCUAAUACCGCAUACGAGCUAUGGAUGAAAGCGGGGGACCGUAAGGCCUCGCGCGAUUGGAGCUGCCGAUGUCAGAUUAGGUAGCUGGUGGGGUAAAGGCUCACCAAGCCAACGAUCUGUAGCUGGUCUGAGAGGACGACCAGCCACACUGGGACUGAGACACGGCCCAGACUCCUACGGGAGGCAGCAGUGGGGAAUUUUGGACAAUGGGCGCAAGCCUGAUCCAGCAAUGCCGCGUGCAGGAAGAAGGCCUUCGGGUUGUAAACUGCUUUUGUACGGAACGAAACGGCUCUGGUUAAUACCCGGGGCUAAUGACGGUACCGUAAGAAUAAGCACCGGCUAACUACGUG
This 482-nucleotide ribosomal RNA is filed under the name uncultured bacterium. RNAcentral describes it as "partial 16S ribosomal RNA". It matches the Rfam family "Bacterial small subunit ribosomal RNA", at positions 30 to 507 of the family's 1533-position model. The record is from RNAcentral.